GACAGAGGUGCCGAGCGUUAGGCGGAAUCACUGGGCUUAAAGCGUGUGUAGGCGGACCGUUAAGUACCUUGUGAAAUCCCCCGGCUCAACCGGGGAACGGCUGGGUAUACUGGCGGUCUUGAGCCAUCCAGGGGCAGGCGGAACAGACGGUGGAGCGGUGAAAUGCGUAGAUAUCGGCUGGAACGCCGAAGGUGAAAACAGACUGCUGGGGAUGCGCUGACGCUGAGACACGAAAGCCAGGGGAGCGAACGGG
This 253-nucleotide ribosomal RNA is filed under the name uncultured bacterium. RNAcentral describes it as "partial 16S ribosomal RNA". It matches the Rfam family "Bacterial small subunit ribosomal RNA", at positions 524 to 776 of the family's 1533-position model. The record is from RNAcentral.